CACUUCUCGUCCGCCGUCGACUUCCGGUUUUUAAGGCUUCCUCCUCUUCCGUUCGGUCUCUUCCCCGUGGAAGCUAUGGCUGCGGCGGAGGAAGGGUUCCGGCCUCUCGAAGAGGAGUCCCUGGUGGACUACAUCAAAUCCACUCCCGCUCUCCUCGUCCAGUUGGGAGAACAGUUGGAGGGCCUCGCCAUCAAGGAAGUCGGCGACGGCAAUCUCAACUUCGUGUACAUCGUCACCAGCCCAGGCGGAUCCUUCGUCAUCAAGCAGGCUCUUCCUUAUAUUCGCUGCAUCGGUACUUCGUGGCCUAUGACAAAGGAGCGUGCCUAUUUUGAGAUGUUAGCCUUAAAAGAACAUGGUCGCCUAUGCCCAAAUCAUGUACCCGAAGUUUACCAUUUUGACAGGCCAAUGUCCUUAAUUGCUAUGCGCUACUUGAAGCCUCCACAUAUUAUUUUGCGGAAAGGGCUAAUUGCUGGGAUAGAAUAUCCAUUGCUUGCUCAACACAUGUCGGACUUUAUGGCAAGAACACUUUUUUUCACAUCACUUCUUUACCAUUCUACACUAGAGCACAGAAAAGCAGUUGCAGAAUUUUGUGGGAAUGUGGAACUAUGCAGGCUCACAGAGCAAGUUGUUUUUUCAGACCCAUAUAAGGUGGCUCAGUAUAAUCAUUGGACUUCACCUCACCUUGACCAUGACGCUGAGGCAAUUCGUGAUGAUGACAUCUUAAAAAUUGAAGUAGCUGGACUGAAGUCCAUGUUCUGCGAGAGGGCACAAGCUCUGAUUCAUGGAGAUCUUCAUACUGGUUCUGUCAUGGUGACUAAUGAUUCUACACAAGUCAUUGAUCCUGAAUUUGCUUUUUAUGGGCCUAUGGGAUUCGAUAUAGGAGCUUUCUUGGGAAACUUGAUUUUGGCUUUCUUUUCUCAAGAUGGUCAUGCUAAUAAAGACAAUGACCGUGAGGCAUAUAAGAGGUGGAUUUUGAAGAUGCUAGAAGAAACUUGGAAUCUUUUUCACCAGAAAUUUGUUGCUCUCUGGAAUGAGAACUUUGAUGGGCAUGGCGAGGCAUAUCUUGCAGAUAUUUUUAACAAACCUGAAUUGCAACUCCUUGCACAGAAGAAGUACAUGACUGAUUUAUUUCAUGAUUCUAUCGGAUUUGGUGCUGCUAAGAUGAUAAGGAGAAUUGUUGGAGUAGCUCAUGUUGAAGAUUUUGAAUCCAUUGCCGAUGGGAGCCAGAGGGCUCUCUGCGAGCGCCGUGCCUUAGAUUGUGCCAAGAAACUUCUGAAGGAAAGGCGCAAAUUUGAAAGCAUCAGCCAAGUCAUUUCAGUCAUUGAGGAGAUUUCAGCUCGCUAGGCAGUCGGAAAAAUAGAGGAACUAGUAACCGCCAUGAAAUUGCAUCAGAAGUGCAUCUCUCCAUGAACUGUUAAACUAAAUUAUGCUUUCAGAAUGAGUCACAGCAAAUGGCUGGUACUCGUCGAAAAUUGAAGUGAGGCAUUGAUGCUGAAGCUUUCUUAUGCAUCCUACCGAAUAACUGGUUCGAUGCUGGACUAGUUCAUACUUCAUAAUUUGCACAUGAGGGAGUCGAGCACACAUGAAAUAGGUGUAUGGUUCAAUCUCACAUCAAAGAGUGAAGAAAGAGUAGUAUACAGAGUACUCUCUUAGUAGAAUGCCCAAGGAUGAAAAUUCUUAAGGUAAUUAGAUUGAUAAUAUGAUAUACAUAUAUUAGUUAGAAUGGCGAAAAACAACAUAAAGCAAUGUUGAGUGUUAUUUGUUGGAGGAGAAACUAAUCAUAGGUCUUGUUAUUACUCA
This is an RNA transcript of Zingiber officinale, 1800 nucleotides long. It is a transcript of the gene named methylthioribose kinase-like, with no coding region annotated. NCBI's taxonomy places the organism in Eukaryota, Viridiplantae, Streptophyta, Magnoliopsida, Zingiberales, Zingiberaceae. The record is from RefSeq and is a predicted model, not a curated record. The transcript is spliced from 7 exons.